This 482-nucleotide ribosomal RNA is filed under the name uncultured bacterium. Its description in RNAcentral is "partial 16S ribosomal RNA". It matches the Rfam family "Bacterial small subunit ribosomal RNA", at positions 30 to 507 of the family's 1533-position model. The record is from RNAcentral.
AUUGAACGCUGGCGGCAUGCCUUACACAUGCAAGUCGAACGGUAACGGGCCUUCGGGUGCCGACGAGUGGCGAACGGGUGAGUAAUACAUCGGAACGUGCCCGAUCGUGGGGGAUAACGAGGCGAAAGCUUUGCUAAUACCGCAUACGAUCUACGGAUGAAAGCAGGGGACCGCAAGGCCUUGCGCGGACGGAGCGGCCGAUGGCAGAUUAGGUAGUUGGUGGGAUAAAAGCUUACCAAGCCGACGAUCUGUAGCUGGUCUGAGAGGAUGAUCAGCCACACUGGGACUGAGACACGGCCCAGACUCCUACGGGAGGAAGCAGUGGGGAAUUUUGGACAAUGGGCGCAAGCCUGAUCCAGCCAUGCCGCGUGCAGGAUGAAGGCCUUCGGGUUGUAAACUGCUUUUGUACGGAACGAAGAGCCUUCUUUUAAUACAGGAGGGUCAUGACGGUACCGUAAGAAUAAGCACCGGCUAACUACGUG